Molecule: long non-coding RNA, 2114 nt
Filed under: Solanum pimpinellifolium
Lineage: Eukaryota; Viridiplantae; Streptophyta; Magnoliopsida; Solanales; Solanaceae
Description: long non-coding RNA (SPIM_LNC000247)
Source: RNAcentral
CUUCAUAUCUUUAGUACCAUUGAUAUAGAUGCAAUGGCGCUUUGUGUUCAGAGUGAACUCUGCCCCAGGCACCUUUUCUUUAAGCGCACUAAGGUCUGGUCCAAAUGUCUGAACAACUCUUUUCAUCAGGUCAUGUGGCAAAAGUCCUCCNUCUCAACCAAUCAGAAACCUUUGAUCAUUUUUUGACAAAUACACCUAUAUCCAACAACCUACCAUCAACCAACUUUCUUGAAUUCUUGACAUAUUUCAUCAAAUUUUGCCAAAAAAAUUCAAGAAUUUGGGAUGAUGGCAGGAUGGUUGAUGAAUAACCAAAAGUUAAGUCCUAUGGGGUUGAUGAUCAACAAAGAUGAGAAUUGUAUGUUUGGCCAAAAACAAAAAUCAAGUCUUGAUUUUCUAAUGCAGAAUUGUGACUUGCCUCCACCUCUCAAGGUGUUUUCUGGCCCUGAUAAGUCAGUGUUGCUAUCACCGACGAGUGAUAACGUUGAGGACGUGGAACAAGGGGGUGAUAGGUUGGAGGUUCUAAAGGCGUUGAGACGAUCACAGACACGAGCAAGAGAGGCUGAGAGGAAGUACCUGGCAUUGGAGGAGGAGAAGGAAGCUCUUUCGAAUUUGAUGUUGCGGGAAUCAGCGCGAUUGCUUGCUUGUAAGAACUGGAUCAAAGUUCUUGAGCUACAAAUCCUGCAGUUAAAAACACAAAAACAGCAGCAGCAGGAAUAUGAACAUGUUGAUACCAAAGAAGAUGAAAAUGGUACAAAUGGGGUAACAUGGUUCAUAGCAGUUGCUUUCUGUUUAGGCAUAGCUGCAAUUGGUUACAGAUACCUCCUUUGACGGAGUACAGACUGAUGAGGAUGAGUCAAAAGGCACACGAUACCUUACCUUAGACAUGUUGGAUCAAAGCAGACAAUAUGUGUCAUCUUUUUUCUCCUGUUCUGAUAUGCUUUAUCAGUCAUCUUAUAGGUACUAUGAUGUUGGAAACACAAUUAACCAAAUGCCACAAAAUUAGACAGAAACUUUGUACUAUUGUAAUAGAUAAGACAGUUAAAUAUAGAUAAGAAAAGGGUUCUGAAGACACCAAUAUAUUGAUGUCUCUACAACAUAAACGUCAAGAUAUUUACAGAUAAAAAGCUCUUGCUUACGUACUCGGUGCAACUAUUUUGCAUGAACACGCUUACAUAAACUAUGUUUCACGAUUUCUCAUGUAAUGGACCCAUGAACAGACCUCAAAUGGUUAUAGCAGUUAUCACUGGUGUCGAAGAAGAGCAAGCAAACCCAGCAAACAUGUUUCCCGCACUUACACUCGAUAUGAUUGCAGCCCUCCACCUUCUCGAUUGUAAAGCCACAAACGGGACAUUUCUUUACAUUGUCUUUCCCCUUGGACCAUUCCUCUAGAGAGCAAUCUGGGUUGUCUUUAAUCUUCUGGUAUGUCUCGCAUGAGAGGUAAGGAUGGUACUCCAGGUGGCAACUCGUACACGUCUCCACAUAGCAUGCAUCACAGGCAAAAGGUGCACCAACCAUAUCGGGAGCUGCAAUGCGAUAAACUGAAGGGCAGUCGGGUGAGGGGCAAAAGCGGUAGGUACUCCCAUUGGCUGCCACAAAAGCCCCCAAGGAAGCCCUGAAAAGUUCUUCCAACUUAUCACUGGACAACAACGACUUCAAAUCAGUAAGCAAGAUGGGUUCUGCACAACCUUGAUGAAGACAGCAUAUGGGGAAACCUUCCCGGCUUUUGAUUGCAGACUCGCACUGCUCUAGCAAGCAUGUCCGACAGAAUACAUGGCAGCAAGCUUCAAGUUUAUAAGGAUCCUCUGGUUCACACAAGCAAACAGGACAGUCAGCAUCAUCUCCCGUCGUUUGAGUUGGAAAACUUCUUUGAGCAAUUUCAGAGAUUAUGUCCUCAACACUCCGCUUCAUAUCUUUAGUACCAUUGAUAUAGAUGCAAUGGCGCUUUGUGUUCAGAGUGAACUCUGCCCCAGGCACCUUUUCUUUAAGCGCACUAAGGUCUGGUCCAAAUGUCUGAACAACUCUUUUCAUCAGGUCAUGUGGCAAAAGUCCUCCACGAAGAUGCACCUCAAGUUGUUUACUUUCAUGUAGCGCCAGAAGGGAAUUAAUAAAUCUCU